This 424-nucleotide ribosomal RNA is filed under the name uncultured bacterium. Its description in RNAcentral is "partial 16S ribosomal RNA". It matches the Rfam family "Bacterial small subunit ribosomal RNA", at positions 355 to 796 of the family's 1533-position model. The record is from RNAcentral.
GUGGGAAUAUUGGACAAUGGGCGCAAGCCUGAUCCAGCCAUGCCGCGUGAGUGAUGAAGGCCUUAGGGUUGUAAAGCUCUUUCGUCAGGGAAGAUAAUGACGGUACCUGAAGAAGAAGCCCCGGCUAACUUCGUGCCAGCAGCCGCGGUAAUACGAAGGGGGCUAGCGUUGCUCGGAAUCACUGGGCGUAAAGCGCACGUAGGCGGCUUUCUAAGUCAGGGGUGAAAUCCUGGAGCUCAACUCCAGAACUGCCUUUGAUACUGGAGAGCUUGAGUUCGGGAGAGGUGAGUGGAACUGCGAGUGUAGAGGUGAAAUUCGUAGAUAUUCGCAAGAACACCAGUGGCGAAGGCGGCUCACUGGCCCGAUACUGACGCUGAGGUGCGAAAGCGUGGGGAGCAAACAGGAUUAGAAACCCCAGUAGUCC